GACGAGCGCUGGCGGCGUGCUUAACACAUGCAAGUCGAACGGAAAGGCCCUGCUUUUGUGGGGUGCUCGAGUGGCGAACGGGUGAGUAACACGUGAGUAACCUGCCCUUGACUUUGGGAUAACUUCAGGAAACUGGGGCUAAUACCGGAUAGGAGCUCCUGCUGCAUGGUGGGGGUUGGAAAGUUUCGGCGGUUGGGGAUGGACUCGCGGCUUAUCAGCUUGUUGGUGGGGUAGUGGCUUACCAAGGCUUUGACGGUUAGCCGGCCUGAGAGGGUGACCGGCCACAUUGGGACUGAGAUACGGCCCAGACUCCUACGGGAGGCAGCAGUGGGGAAUAUUGCACAAUGGGCGGAAGCCUGAUGCAGCAACGCCGCGUGCGGGAUGACGGCCUUCGGGUUGUAAACCGCUUUCGCCUGUGACGAAGCGUGAGUGACGGUAAUGGGUAAAGAAGCACCGGCUAACUACGUG
This 468-nucleotide ribosomal RNA is filed under the name uncultured bacterium. RNAcentral's name for it is "partial 16S ribosomal RNA". It matches the Rfam family "Bacterial small subunit ribosomal RNA", at positions 28 to 507 of the family's 1533-position model. The record is from RNAcentral.